Non-coding RNA from Pelobates cultripes (western spadefoot toad), 210 nucleotides. NCBI's taxonomy places the organism in Eukaryota, Metazoa, Chordata, Amphibia, Anura, Pelobatidae. The record is from the annotation of a GenBank genome assembly.
CUGUAACUGAGUACGAACCAUAGCCAUACUGUGACCGAGUACGGACCAUAGCCAUACUGUAACCGAGCUCAGUGAGUUUACAUGUUAGAGGGAGUGGGGUAUAGUGACACAGUAACCGAGGGAUUGAGGCCCUGCUCAGUGAGCUGACAUGUUAGAGGGAGUGGGGUAUAGUGACACAGUAACGGAGGGAUUGAGGGCCCUGCUCAGUGA